GAUAUUCCAUGAAGAGAACUGUUCCAAAUCCAACCAAAUUAUACUGCUGAUAUAAGGCUUUAACAAAUUAGUUUUUUGUUCAAUGUUUACUUUAUUAGAUUGCAACACAAUACUUUUUUCUUUUCAGAAAGAUGGUGGAGAAUAUUAAAUAUAUGAGUCUACAAUAUGCUAAGGAAGUCUCUCUGCUGAACUAAGAUCUAAUGAAUUUAUUGGAAGUUUAGAGAGCUACAUGUAUUAUGCCUGGAAUCAAAGGAUAACGCGAGUCCUAUUUCAGGUGGGUACGUAAGAUGAUAGCCAA
Molecule: long non-coding RNA, 298 nt
Organism: Drosophila guanche
Lineage: Eukaryota; Metazoa; Arthropoda; Insecta; Diptera; Drosophilidae
Exons: 2
Source: RefSeq, a predicted model, not a curated record